GACGAACGCUGGCGGCGUGCUUAACACAUGCAAGUCGAACGGAAAGGCCCUGCUUUUGUGGGGUGCUCGAGUGGCGAACGGGUGAGUAACACGUGAGUAACCUGCCCUUGACUUUGGGAUAACUUCAGGAAACUGGGGCUAAUACCGGAUAGGAGCUCCUGCUGCAUGGUGGGGGUUGGAAAGUUUCGGCGGGUGGGGAUGGACUCGCGGCUUAUCAGCUUGUUGGUGGGGUAGUGGCUUACCAAGGCUUUGACGGGUAGCCGGCCUGAGAGGGUGACCGGCCACAUUGGGAAUGAGAUACGGCCCAGACCCCUAGGGGGGGCAGGAGGGGGGAAUAUUGCACAAGGGGGGGAAGCCUGAUGCAGAAACCCCGGGUGGGGGAUGACGGCCUUCGGGUUGGAAACCGCUUUCGCCUGUAACGAAGGGGGAGGGAGGGGAAUGGGUAAAGAAGCACCGGCUAACUACGU
RNAcentral lists this ribosomal RNA (467 nucleotides) under uncultured bacterium. RNAcentral describes it as "partial 16S ribosomal RNA". It matches the Rfam family "Bacterial small subunit ribosomal RNA", at positions 28 to 506 of the family's 1533-position model. The record is from RNAcentral.